RNAcentral lists this ribosomal RNA (467 nucleotides) under uncultured bacterium. Its description in RNAcentral is "partial 16S ribosomal RNA". It matches the Rfam family "Bacterial small subunit ribosomal RNA", at positions 28 to 507 of the family's 1533-position model. The record is from RNAcentral.
GACGAACGCUGGCGGCGUGCUUAACACAUGCAAGUCGAACGGAAAGGCCCUGCUUUUGUGGGGUGCUCGAGUGGCGAACGGGUGAGUACACGUGAGUAACCUGCCCUUGACUUUGGGAUAACUUCAGGAAACUGGGGCUAAUACCGGAUAGGAGCUCCUGCUGCAUGGUGGGGGUUGGAAAGUUUCGGCGGUUGGGGAUGGACUCGCAGCUUAUCAGCUUGUUGGUGGGGUAGUGGCUUACCAAGGCUUUGACGGGUAGCCGGCCUGAGAGGGUGACCGGCCACAUUGGGACUGAGAUACGGCCCAGACUCCUACGGGAGGCAGCAGUGGGGAAUAUUGCACAAUGGGCGGAAGCCUGAUGCAGCAACGCCGCGUGCGGGAUGACGGCCUUCGGGUUGUAAACCGCUUUCGCCUGUGACGAAGCGUGAGUGACGGUAAUGGGUAAAGAAGCACCGGCUAACUACGUG